RNAcentral lists this ribosomal RNA (636 nucleotides) under Chroococcidiopsidales cyanobacterium LEGE 13417. RNAcentral's name for it is "bacterial SSU rRNA". It matches the Rfam family "Bacterial small subunit ribosomal RNA", at positions 114 to 784 of the family's 1533-position model. The record is from RNAcentral. Lineage: Bacteria; Bacillati; Cyanobacteriota; Cyanophyceae; Chroococcidiopsidales.
CGCGUGAGAAUCUGCCUUUUGGACCGGGACAACUGCGGGAAACGGCAGCUAAGACCGGAUGUGCCUUCGGGUGAAAUAUUCAUAGCCAAAAGAGGAGCUCGCGACCGAUUAGCUAGUUGGUGGGGUAAGAGCCUACCAAGGCUGCGAUCGGUAGCCGGUUUGAGAGGACGACCGGCCACACUGGGACUGAGACACGGCCCAGACUCCUACGGGAGGCAGCAGUGGGGAAUUUUCCGCAAUGGGCGAAAGCCUGACGGAGCAAUACCGCGUGAGGGAGGAAGGCUCUUGGGUCGUAAACCUCUUUUCUCAGGGAAGAAGCAAUGACGGUACCUGAGGAAUCAGCAUCGGCUAACUCCGUGCCAGCAGCCGCGGUAAUACGGAGGAUGCAAGCGUUAUCCGGAAUGAUUGGGCGUAAAGCGUCCGCAGGUGGCACAUCAAGUCUGCUGUCAAAGCCCCCAGCUUAACUGGGAAGAGGCGGUGGAAACUGGUGAGCUAGAGAGCAAUAGGGGUAGAGGGAAUUCCCGGUGUAGCGGUGAAAUGCGUAGAGAUCGGGAAGAACACCAGUGGCGAAAGCGCUCUACUAGGUUGCAACUGACACUGAGGGACGAAAGCUAGGGGAGCGAAUGGGAUUAGAUA